GAUGAACGCUGACAGAAUGCUUAACACAUGCAAGUCUACUUGAACUUCGGUUUGGGUGGCGGACGGGUGAGUAACGCGUAAAGAACUUGCCUCACAGUUAGGGACAACAUUUGGAAACGAAUGCUAAUACCUGAUAUUAUGAUUUUAGGGCAUCCUAGGAUUAUGAAAGCUAUAUGUGCUGUGAGAGAGCUUUGCGUCCCAUUAGCUAGUUGGAGAGGUAACGGCUCACCAAGGCGAUGAUGGGUAGCCGGCCUGAGAGGGUGAACGGCCACAAGGGGACUGAGACACGGCCCUUACUCCUACGGGAGGCAGCAGUGGGGAAUAUUGGACAAUGGACCAAAAGCCUGAUCCAGCAAUUCUGUGUGCACGAUGACGUUUUUCGGAAUGUAAAGUGCUUUCAGUUGGGAAGAAAAAAAUGACGGUACCAACAGAAGAAGUGACGGCUAAAUACGUG
This 454-nucleotide ribosomal RNA is filed under the name uncultured bacterium. RNAcentral describes it as "partial 16S ribosomal RNA". It matches the Rfam family "Bacterial small subunit ribosomal RNA", at positions 28 to 507 of the family's 1533-position model. The record is from RNAcentral.